UACGAAGGGGGCUAGCGUUGCUCGGAAUUAUUGGGCGUAAAGCGCACGUAGGCGGUCUUUUAAGUCGGGGGUGAAAUCCUGGAGCUCAACUCCAGAACUGCCUUCGAUACUGGAAGACUUGAGUCCGGGAGAGGUGAGUGGAACUGCGAGUGUAGAGGUGAAAUUCGUAGAUAUUCGCAAGAACACCAGUGGCGAAGGCGGCUCACUGGCCCGGUACUGACGCUGAGGUGCGAAAGCUAGGGGAGCAAACAGG
Molecule: ribosomal RNA, 253 nt
Filed under: uncultured bacterium
Lineage: Bacteria
Description: partial 16S ribosomal RNA
Rfam family: Bacterial small subunit ribosomal RNA
Source: RNAcentral